RNAcentral lists this transfer RNA (57 nucleotides) under Dipodomys ordii (Ord's kangaroo rat). It matches the Rfam family "tRNA", at positions 8 to 63 of the family's 71-position model. Rfam says of the family: Transfer RNA (tRNA) molecules are approximately 80 nucleotides in length. Lineage: Eukaryota; Metazoa; Chordata; Mammalia; Rodentia; Heteromyidae. The record is from Rfam by way of RNAcentral.
UGGCUCAGUGGUAGAGUGCUUGCCUCUCAUGCAUGAGACCCUGGGUUCGAUUCUCAG